RNAcentral lists this unclassified non-coding RNA (726 nucleotides) under Hevea brasiliensis (rubber tree). The record is from RNAcentral. Lineage: Eukaryota; Viridiplantae; Streptophyta; Magnoliopsida; Malpighiales; Euphorbiaceae.
GUAAAUGAUGCUGUCCUUGUUGGUGAUAGCACACUUGUCUCCUGCUCUUCAGACACCACUCUCAAGACUUGGAGUUGCUUGUCCGAUGGAAUUUGUACCAGGACUCUUCGACAGCACUCUGAUUAUGUUACUUGUCUUGCUGCAGCAGAAAAAAAUAGCAAUAUUGUUGCCUCUGGUGGCCUUGGUGGGGAGGUUUUCAUAUGGGAUCUCGAAGCUGCACUUGCUCCAGUCUCAAAAUCAAAUGAUGCAAUGGAAGAUGAUUGUUCAAAUGGUGUCAGUGGUUCUGGUAAUCCAUUGCCUAUGACAAGUUUACGCACCAUUAGCUCAAGCAACAGCAUAACUAUGCAUACAACUCAGUCCCAUGGAUAUGUACCAAUUGGUGCCAAAGGCCAUAAGGAGUCAGUUUAUGCAUUGGCAAUGAAUGAGACUGGAACUAUUCUUGUCUCUGGUGGAACUGAAAAGGUUGUUCGUGUUUGGGAUCCAAGAACUGGUUCAAAGACUAUGAAGCUAAGAGGGCACACUGAUAAUAUCAGGGCUCUGCUUUUGGAUUCUUCUGGCAGGUUUUGCUUAUCUGGAUCCUCUGAUUCUAUGAUCAGACUAUGGGACCUUGGUCAGCAGCGUUGUGUGCAUUCAUAUGCUGUGCAUACAGAUUCUGUUUGGGCACUUGCCAGCACCCCAACAUUUGGCCAUGUUUAUAGUGGUGGGAGGGAUCUAUCUUUAUACUUG